AUACGUAGGGGGCGAGCGUUAUCCGGAAUCACUGGGCGUAAAGGGUGCGUAGGCGGAAUGGUAAGUCAGUGGUGAAAUCCUGCAGCUCAACUGUAGAGUUGCCAUUGAUACUGUCAUUCUUGAGUAUAGAUGAGGUAGGCGGAAUGAGUAGUGUAGCGGUGAAAUGCAUAGAUAUUACUCAGAACACCAAUUGCGAAGGCAGCUUACUAAACUAUAACUGACGCUGAAGCACGAAAGCGUGGGUAUCAAACAGGAUUAGAUACCCUGGUAGUCCACGCCGUAAACGAUGAUUACUGGUUGUUUGCAAUACACCGCAAGCGACUGAGCGAAAGCAUUAAGUAAUCCACCUGGGGAGUACGUCGGCAACGAUGAA
Molecule: ribosomal RNA, 373 nt
Filed under: uncultured bacterium
Lineage: Bacteria
Description: bacterial SSU rRNA
Rfam family: Bacterial small subunit ribosomal RNA
Source: RNAcentral